Molecule: ribosomal RNA, 315 nt
Filed under: Triticum aestivum (bread wheat)
Lineage: Eukaryota; Viridiplantae; Streptophyta; Magnoliopsida; Poales; Poaceae
Description: partial small subunit ribosomal RNA
Source: RNAcentral
AUGUUGGAGCAUAAGAAAGGAGGGGUUGCCAAGUUGAACGUGAAGGACAAGCUUCCAGACGGCGGCUGCUCGUCCACCAACCGCGCGCCUUGGUUGGAGCCUGCGGGAGGAGGGGUGGGAAGGAACAGGGAGGAAGCAGGAGCCGCCCAAGGUCCCGUUCAUACGGCGGCGCAGGCAGAAGACAUGACGGUGCGGCCACCGGAAGCACUAUUUUUCCUACCCUUGUCCUCCGAGAACGACGGGGACAAGGGAGGCGGCGGCGGCGGCGCUGUCCAGCAGUGGGGAAGGAGAACGGGGAAUGGGAAGAAAGAUUGA